Molecule: transfer RNA, 69 nt
Filed under: Apis koschevnikovi
Lineage: Eukaryota; Metazoa; Arthropoda; Insecta; Hymenoptera; Apidae
Description: tRNA-Tyr
Source: RNAcentral
AGUAUUAAAUCUAAAUUUAGAAUUAAAUUGUAAAUUUAAAAGUUGAAAAUUUGAAUUUUUCUGAUACUA